This 154-nucleotide unclassified non-coding RNA is filed under the name soil metagenome. RNAcentral describes it as "partial internal transcribed spacer 1". The record is from RNAcentral.
GUGAUUAAAUCGAGCGUGUCUUCAUUGACCGCUCACCCUUCUCACCAUCCACAUACACCUGUGCACUGUUUAGCCUGAGCCGGUUUUCCGGUCCAGGUUAUCAUUUCAUACGAAACUCUAGUCUUAUGAAUGUAAACGUUUUAAUAACAUAAUA